This is a non-coding RNA of Doryrhamphus excisus (bluestripe pipefish), 2651 nucleotides long. The record is from RefSeq and is a predicted model, not a curated record. Lineage: Eukaryota; Metazoa; Chordata; Actinopteri; Syngnathiformes; Syngnathidae.
ACAGAAGGAGCCGCUAGAUUUGUCAAGGGAUGGUCUCAUCCGGGACAGGAAGGAGAACCAGGAAGGUGGACCAUGUGGUUCAGAGAGCAGCAAAAGAACCGGGCGGUGAAGGCAAUUUACCGUAGCCGGCGAGGGUCACUGGGGGACGGUGAGAGUGAGGAGGAAGUGCCGGUGUGGUGCCGCCAACGACAGUUCAGCGUACGUCCGUUAGCUAGUUAGCAAGUUAGCUAGUUAGUUAGUUAGCUAGUUAGCAAGUUAGUGUUUACGAUGUUUUAGUGCAGUCUUUGAUACCGCCGUCGGAUGAACAACGAGGAUAAAAUACUUUUAUGUUCAGUACAGCGGCGACAGCAAACUUUCCAUAGAAUAUCCGCAUAUCGAUACCGUAAAAUGACGCUAACAGUACCUAUGCAGACGAUGACAGGCGCUGAAGCUCUGGACCCGGGUGAUGUAUCCGACGCGCUCCCCGACGGUGGAUCCAGCCAUGGCCGGCAGCCGACUGUAUAGUGGAGCCAGGAGACAGCGGCUGCGGAUAAUAAAGGCUUGGGCUGGAGCUCCAGGCCUCUCAUGACUCACCCAGCCAUUGGCUUAAAGAAAGGGGCGUGCAUAGACUCACAUGCAGCAGUUGGUGGAUAAACCGUCCAAAACAUUUCAGGACAUGAAGGAAAUUCCUUGCCUGGUGCACUUCAAUGGUCGAGACCCUCGACUUCUGGCCAAGAUUCAUCCCAGAGAACGAAAAGGUUGAAGUUAGUUUUAAUUUGUGCAUACAUAUUCCAUAGCUGGACUGCAAAUACAAUUCAUAUUUUCACUGUGCUACAACAUUCAUGAAAAAAAACGACUUAAUAGAAACAUGAAAAGCCUGUACAAAACUUUGCGUUUGUUUAUAAUCACAAUCCAAAAAGCAAAUACAUUGUAUUCAUAAUGACCAUUUCAACCCAGAUGUUUUGGCAUAUGGAUAUUUACGUAUACAGUACAUGGUCUGCAAAAACAGCAAUGCUAUAUUUUACAUGCUAAAUGCAAAUGAAUAGAAAUAGGCAAUUAUACUGUAUGCAGUUGAUGGGUUUUGAACUGCACGUUGAUUUUGAAUAGUUGAAAAAAACCUACAUUCGUAGCGGUGAUGUCAAACCCAAAUACUUUCAGUUUACAACAAAAAAUAAGAAAUUGACUUAAUAUAAAAUGUGCUUAUGUACAAAAAGAAGUGUUGGUGAAUAAAUGACAAAGUAGAUUAGAGUAGAUUAGGAUUCUGAAUCAGAGUCACUGCAUGGUGUCCAAGUGGUUGACUUCAGUUUCAGGCAGUGUGGGAUUGGUCCCAACUCAGUGACGGUGUAAAUGUGAUUCUGAAUGGUUGUCUUUCCAUAUUUUCCCAGUGAUUGACAAACCAGUCCAAGUUGAAGUCAGUUUGGAAGGCUCAACCUCCCACGACCUUGAACAGUAUAAUCAGUAGAAAAUGUUUGAAUAGAUAAAGAACCCAAGUGCAUUCAAAACUCGCUCUCCUCUAAAAUCUCCUCCAUGGUCUCCCCGAGCGUCAUUUCCCCGUCGCUGCUAGAUAAGCUCUUCCGGGUCAGCAGCGCGAGGCCUGUUGCGUCACAUCCUUUCACGCCAUGACAUUUAACCUCUUUUAGUCUAUUCACUCCACCUCCCUCUUGGCCAGCAACCUGAAGCAGGUGAGGAAGCCUGAUGGGAGUCCCAUCCUCCUCACAGGAUCCCCUCCGCUGGCACUGCGAGCCGUGGCCUCGAGUGCACUUCCAAAGGUGCUUGAGCGGCGCACCCUGAAAACAGCUCCUUAACUGGAAGUUGUUGGUGACCGUGAAAAUCUGCCAGCGCUUCUUUAGCUCAGCUUGAACCUAAAUGCAAACAAACAGAACAUUUUUACAUAGAAAGAUUCCUGCAGUAAUAAAGGCCAUGGAAGGCCAGGAGAAGAAACUCUUAUUGCAGGAAAGAAGUCUGUAUUUUCUCAUGCAGACAGGAGAAAGAGCAGGAAAGAGGCACAAACUAGAAGAAAGAAGGCAUGGACGGUGUGGAAAGACGGAAUUGCUGACCAGAACUUCUCAUUUUGGGUAUUAUGGUUAAUUACUACAAGAGAAUCUAAGUGAAAAUCCAAGAGUCAACAGAGAUUACUCCAGAAAGUUUAUUAUUAUUAACACAUAGCUUGCGGUGUGUUUAUGGCACAUUCACAAAAAUGAUGUGUUCCACAAAUUUCAAAAUUUGACCAGUUUAGUUACCAGUUUAGUGUCUUUAAUAAUCUGUAAUUUAGUGUAUGGAACCAUACCUCUCCGUUAGCGAAGCAAUACAACACUCCAACCAGGAAACCCUGAAUAGAACAGAUUGACUUGUAACUCGGGUUUAAUUACUAAUAAAACAACCAGGUAUACAAUCAGUUGUAGUAUUCUUACCUGGAAAGAACUGAUGGUGAGAUUGAUAAAGUCCCGAGCGUAUCGACUGCUCCCCGUCAUACAUUCAUCAACGAGCACUGUGAAGACAACUUCAUGGAUUCCCAGCAGUGGAAUCAGCACCAGCGUUGCUCUGGCUAAGCUGACAAUGAAUACAACCAAGUUUAAUUUAUACAAUAAAUCCCUUAUUGGGAUAUCUACACGGAUAUGAUUGAAAUACAGUAAACCUCGGAUAUAUCGGAUUCAAUUGUUCCCACUGGUUUU